This 253-nucleotide ribosomal RNA is filed under the name uncultured bacterium. RNAcentral's name for it is "partial 16S ribosomal RNA". It matches the Rfam family "Bacterial small subunit ribosomal RNA", at positions 524 to 776 of the family's 1533-position model. RNAcentral also lists the same sequence under 1 other name. The record is from RNAcentral.
UACGUAGGUGGCAAGCGUUGUCCGGAAUUAUUGGGCGUAAAGCGCGCGCAGGCGGUCCUUUAAGUCUGAUGUGAAAGCCCACGGCUCAACCGUGGAGGGUCAUUGGAAACUGGAGGACUUGAGUGCAGAAGAGGAAAGUGGAAUUCCACGUGUAGCGGUGAAAUGCGUAGAGAUGUGGAGGAACACCAGUGGCGAAGGCGACUUUCUGGUCUGUAACUGACGCUGAGGCGCGAAAGCGUGGGGAGCAAACAGG